This 452-nucleotide ribosomal RNA is filed under the name uncultured bacterium. RNAcentral describes it as "bacterial SSU rRNA". It matches the Rfam family "Bacterial small subunit ribosomal RNA", at positions 123 to 609 of the family's 1533-position model. The record is from RNAcentral.
AACGUGCCUUCUGGUCUGGAAUAACCCUGGGAAACUAGGGCUAAUACCGGAUACGCCCUUUUGGGGAAAGGUUUACUGCCGGAAGAUCGGCCCGCGUCUGAUUAGCUAGUUGGUGGGGUAACGGCCUACCAAGGCGACGAUCAGUAGCUGGUCUGAGAGGAUGAUCAGCCACACUGGGACUGAGACACGGCCCAGACUCCUACGGGAGGCAGCAGUGGGGAAUAUUGGACAAUGGGCGCAAGCCUGAUCCAGCCAUGCCGCGUGAGUGAUGAAGGCCUUAGGGUUGUAAGGCUCUUUUAUCCGGGACGAUAAUGACGGUACCGGAGGAAUAAGCCCCGGCUAACUUCGUGCCAGCAGCCGCGGUAAUACGAAGGGGGCUAGCGUUGCUCGGAAUCACUGGGCGUAAAGGGCGCGUAGGCGGCGUUUUAAGUCGGGGGUGAAAGCCUGUGGCU